RNAcentral lists this signal recognition particle RNA (199 nucleotides) under Diacronema lutheri. RNAcentral's name for it is "partial Metazoan signal recognition particle RNA". The stretch from base 57 to 199 matches the Rfam family "Metazoan signal recognition particle RNA", at positions 104 to 247 of the family's 299-position model. Rfam says of the family: The signal recognition particle (SRP) is a universally conserved ribonucleoprotein. It is involved in the co-translational targeting of proteins to membranes. The record is from RNAcentral. Lineage: Eukaryota; Haptophyta; Pavlovophyceae; Pavlovales; Pavlovaceae.
GGGGGCUGGACGAUGGAGGGUUUCUCGUUCGCACAUCUGCUGUCCGCGCUGCAGAAGGGCCCCCUCUCUGAGGACCGUGUGGCCGUGUGUCGGUUGGUGUAGGCCAUCCGACCUUGGCCUCUAAGGCACGCGACACCGGGCUAGGCCCGACAGGGAGCAGCCAAAACGCGUCGCACGGUCCAGCAGAAGGACAAGGCCU